UUCCCUUCAAAUUCAACAGAAACAUAAUCUACAUCCUCGAGCUGUCUCCUGCUUCGAGGCUGACACUC
RNAcentral lists this small RNA (68 nucleotides) under Arabidopsis thaliana (thale cress). Its description in RNAcentral is "ATSL237510". The record is from RNAcentral. Lineage: Eukaryota; Viridiplantae; Streptophyta; Magnoliopsida; Brassicales; Brassicaceae.